The submitters of this non-coding RNA (131 nucleotides) gave its source as unclassified sequences. The record is from Rfam.
GAACUUCACUCAAUCGACGCGAGUAUCAGAAAUGAUAUGCGCGGUGUUCGAUACUGCAAUAGUUGCAUGGGCGAGUUAUGCCCCAUGAGCCGAGUGCAGAGCCACCGCCGCGUCCUUGAGUUUAUCAUUGA